GGGUUGUGAGGUUAAGCGACUAAGCGUACACGGUGGAUGCCCUGGCAGUCAGAGGCGAUGAAGGACGUGCUAAUCUGCGAUAAGCGUCGGUAAGGUGAUAUGAACCGUUAUAACCGGCGAUUUCCGAAUGGGGAAACCCAGUGUGAUUCGUCACACUAUCAUUAACUGAAUCCAUAGGUUAAUGAGGCGAACCGGGGGAACUGAAACAUCUAAGUACCCCGAGGAAAAGAAAUCAACCGAGAUUCCCCCAGUAGCGGCGAGCGAACGGGGAGCAGCCCAGAGCCUGAAUCAGUGUGUGUGUUAGUGGAAGCGUCUGGAAAGGCGCGCGAUACAGGGUGACAGCCCCGUACACAAAAAUGCACAUACUGUGAGCUCGAUGAGUAGGGCGGGACACGUGGUAUCCUGUCUGAAUAUGGGGGGACCAUCCUCCAAGGCUAAAUACUCCUGACUGACCGAUAGUGAACCAGUACCGUGAGGGAAAGGCGAAAAGAACCCCGGCGAGGGGAGUGAAAAAGAACCUGAAACCGUGUACGUACAAGCAGUGGGAGCCUCUUUAUGGGGUGACUGCGUACCUUUUGUAUAAUGGGUCAGCGACUUAUAUUCUGUAGCAAGGUUAACCGAAUAGGGGAGCCGAAGGGAAACCGAGUCUUAACUGGGCGUUAAGUUGCAGGGUAUAGACCCGAAACCCGGUGAUCUAGCCAUGGGCAGGUUGAAGGUUGGGUAACACUAACUGGAGGACCGAACCGACUAAUGUUGAAAAAUUAGCGGAUGACUUGUGGCUGGGGGUGAAAGGCCAAUCAAACCGGGAGAUAGCUGGUUCUCCCCGAAAGCUAUUUAGGUAGCGCCUCGUGAAUUCAUCUCCGGGGGUAGAGCACUGUUUCGGCAAGGGGGUCAUCCCGACUUACCAACCCGAUGCAAACUGCGAAUACCGGAGAAUGUUAUCACGGGAGACACACGGCGGGUGCUAACGUCCGUCGUGAAGAGGGAAACAACCCAGACCGCCAGCUAAGGUCCCAAAGUCAUGGUUAAGUGGGAAACGAUGUGGGAAGGCCCAGACAGCCAGGAUGUUGGCUUAGAAGCAGCCAUCAUUUAAAGAAAGCGUAAUAGCUCACUGGUCGAGUCGGCCUGCGCGGAAGAUGUAACGGGGCUAAACCAUGCACCGAAGCUGCGGCAGCGACACUAUGUGUUGUUGGGUAGGGGAGCGUUCUGUAAGCCUGUGAAGGUGUGCUGUGAGGCAUGCUGGAGGUAUCAGAAGUGCGAAUGCUGACAUAAGUAACGAUAAAGCGGGUGAAAAGCCCGCUCGCCGGAAGACCAAGGGUUCCUGUCCAACGUUAAUCGGGGCAGGGUGAGUCGACCCCUAAGGCGAGGCCGAAAGGCGUAGUCGAUGGGAAACAGGUUAAUAUUCCUGUACUUGGUGUUACUGCGAAGGGGGGACGGAGAAGGCUAUGUUGGCCGGGCGACGGUUGUCCCGGUUUAAGCGUGUAGGCUGGUUUUCCAGGCAAAUCCGGAAAAUCAAGGCUGAGGCGUGAUGACGAGGCACUACGGUGCUGAAGCAACAAAUGCCCUGCUUCCAGGAAAAGCCUCUAAGCAUCAGGUAACAUCAAAUCGUACCCCAAACCGACACAGGUGGUCAGGUAGAGAAUACCAAGGCGCUUGAGAGAACUCGGGUGAAGGAACUAGGCAAAAUGGUGCCGUAACUUCGGGAGAAGGCACGCUGAUAUGUAGGUGAAGUCCCUCGCGGAUGGAGCUGAAAUCAGUCGAAGAUACCAGCUGGCUGCAACUGUUUAUUAAAAACACAGCACUGUGCAAACACGAAAGUGGACGUAUACGGUGUGACGCCUGCCCGGUGCCGGAAGGUUAAUUGAUGGGGUUAGCGGUAACGCGAAGCUCUUGAUCGAAGCCCCGGUAAACGGCGGCCGUAACUAUAACGGUCCUAAGGUAGCGAAAUUCCUUGUCGGGUAAGUUCCGACCUGCACGAAUGGCGUAAUGAUGGCCAGGCUGUCUCCACCCGAGACUCAGUGAAAUUGAACUCGCUGUGAAGAUGCAGUGUACCCGCGGCAAGACGGAAAGACCCCGUGAACCUUUACUAUAGCUUGACACUGAACAUUGAGCCUUGAUGUGUAGGAUAGGUGGGAGGCUUUGAAGUGUGGACGCCAGUCUGCAUGGAGCCGACCUUGAAAUACCACCCUUUAAUGUUUGAUGUUCUAACGUUGGCCCCUGAUCGGGGUUGCGGACAGUGUCUGGUGGGUAGUUUGACUGGGGCGGUCUCCUCCUAAAGAGUAACGGAGGAGCACGAAGGUUGGCUAAUCCUGGUCGGACAUCAGGAGGUUAGUGCAAUGGCAUAAGCCAGCUUGACUGCGAGCGUGACGGCGCGAGCAGGUGCGAAAGCAGGUCAUAGUGAUCCGGUGGUUCUGAAUGGAAGGGCCAUCGCUCAACGGAUAAAAGGUACUCCGGGGAUAACAGGCUGAUACCGCCCAAGAGUUCAUAUCGACGGCGGUGUUUGGCACCUCGAUGUCGGCUCAUCACAUCCUGGGGCUGAAGUAGGUCCCAAGGGUAUGGCUGUUCGCCAUUUAAAGUGGUACGCGAGCUGGGUUUAGAACGUCGUGAGACAGUUCGGUCCCUAUCUGCCGUGGGCGCUGGAGAACUGAGGGGGGCUGCUCCUAGUACGAGAGGACCGGAGUGGACGCAUCACUGGUGUUCGGGUUGUCAUGCCAAUGGCACUGCCCGGUAGCUAAAUGCGGAAGAGAUAAGUGCUGAAAGCAUCUAAGCACGAAACUUGCCCCGAGAUGAGUUCUCCCUGACUCCCUGAGAGUCCUGAAGGAACGUUGAAGACGACGACGUUGAUAGGCCGGGUGUGUAAGCGCAGCGAUGCGUUGAGCUAACCGGUACUAAUGAACCGUGAGGCUUAACCUUACAACGCCGAAG
This 2925-nucleotide ribosomal RNA is filed under the name Escherichia coli. RNAcentral describes it as "partial 23S ribosomal RNA". It matches the Rfam family "Bacterial large subunit ribosomal RNA". The record is from RNAcentral. Lineage: Bacteria; Pseudomonadati; Pseudomonadota; Gammaproteobacteria; Enterobacterales; Enterobacteriaceae.